UUACGAUCAUAGCACGUAGAAAUGCCGGUUCCCAUAGGAUCACCGAAGUUAAGCAACGUUGAGCCUGGUCAGUACCUAGAUGGGUGACCGCUUGGGAAUAUCAGGUAC
Molecule: non-coding RNA, 108 nt
Organism: Acanthosepion pharaonis
Lineage: Eukaryota; Metazoa; Mollusca; Cephalopoda; Sepiida; Sepiidae
Source: the annotation of a GenBank genome assembly